Molecule: regulatory RNA element, 87 nt
Organism: Peptoclostridium acidaminophilum DSM 3953
Lineage: Bacteria; Bacillati; Bacillota; Clostridia; Peptostreptococcales; Peptoclostridiaceae
Rfam family: pan motif
Source: Rfam
GAGACGGCAUCCGCAGGAGCCGAACUCGAUUUGAAAUCACACUAAAAUUCAAUUUCUGCUUUGAUCCUUCUGGACGGAGACUGAAGA